GUUCUGUCGUCGAUUAUUUUCUCGGCUAAAUCUGAAACAGCCUCGACCAUAUCGCCGACACAUUUUUUUUCAUUUCAACGACGACUCGUAUUCUCUGUCGCCUUCUCCGGCGUUUUCGAAGUCUCCUCCUGCCGAUACGCGGAUACUGCCGCGAUUCCUCCAUAUAUAUCAGAGAUAAGCAUUUUCUCUUCUGUCUUUUGCGGGUUUGGUUUUUGAUUUUGAUUCUUUUUGUCUCCUGGAUUUGCUUAGUCGGAGCAACUGAAAUAGUUUAGGGAUCGAGAAUUUAGGUUGUAUAUCUCCAUCGACCAUUAUCAUGAUCUCUUCUGGAAUUUCUCAAAUUUGGAUUUAGUUUCUAUAUAUGUCCUGAACUAAUUUAGGGAUCGAUGAAUCAUUGAUUUUUUUCUGAAUGAUAUUGUGUUAAAAAUUGAUGAUCAUGAAACAUAAAAGGGUCAUGUUCGAUUGUGUCUAAUAUUGUGUCUAUCUUUUUGCAGAUUCAUCUAUUAACAAUGGUUCUCUUCCUCUUCACAUCCAGCUGUUGGUCAAGGCUUUUAGGAAGCUGUUAAGAGUGGAUAUGUGUGUGAGAGCUUUUGUCGGCAUAAAAGAACAAAGGUUAAUGGCUUUUGGUGGGCACAAAAAAAACAAUAGAGAUGUAAUGUUUGACACAACAAGAUGUAACUUGUCUUUAUUUUUUUUUCUUGUCGUUUGUUUUUUAUAAUUUCAAACCACAUAUUUCUUAUCUAAUGUUUGAUACCACAAGUUGUAUCUAAUAAUUCACACCACUUGUAAAGUAUCAUUCGUCUAUAUGUACUGAGAAAUGAGUUAUUGUUUUCUA
Eutrema salsugineum is the source of this 832-nucleotide long non-coding RNA. RefSeq lists it as uncharacterized. NCBI's taxonomy places the organism in Eukaryota, Viridiplantae, Streptophyta, Magnoliopsida, Brassicales, Brassicaceae. The record is from RefSeq and is a predicted model, not a curated record. The transcript is spliced from 2 exons.